Bombardia bombarda is the source of this 109-nucleotide non-coding RNA. Lineage: Eukaryota; Fungi; Ascomycota; Sordariomycetes; Sordariales; Lasiosphaeriaceae. The record is from the annotation of a GenBank genome assembly.
GGGACCUUGGCGCAGUUGGAAGCGCGUUGGUCUCAUAUCAUUAGAUAUGAUCUGCUUGUUCAACAUCAGAGUCAUCCAGAGGUCGUGAGUUCGAACCUCACAGGUCCCA